CCUACGGGUGGCUGCAGUGAGGAAUAUUGGUCAAUGGGCGCGAGCCUGAACCAGCCAAGUCGCGUGAGGGAUGACGGUCCUACGGAUUGUAAACCUCUUUUGCCGGGGAGCAAGCGUGCGUUCGUGAACGCGCGUCGAGAGUACCCGGAGAAAAAGCAUCGGCUAACUCCGUGCCAGCAGCCGCGGUAAUACGGAGGAUGCGAGCGUUAUCCGGAUUUAUUGGGUUUAAAGGGUGCGCAGGCGGAAUGUCAAGUCAGCGGUAAAAUUUCGGGGCUCAACCCCGUCGUGCCGUUGAAACUGGCGUUCUUGAGUGAGCGAGAAGUAUGCGGAAUGCGUGGUGUAGCGGUGAAAUGCAUAGAUAUCACGCAGAACUCCGAUUGCGAAGGCAGCAUACCGGCGCUCAACUGACGCUCAUGCACGAAAGCGUGGGUAUCGAACAGGAUUAGAUACCCUUGUAGUC
Molecule: ribosomal RNA, 460 nt
Filed under: uncultured bacterium
Lineage: Bacteria
Description: partial 16S ribosomal RNA
Rfam family: Bacterial small subunit ribosomal RNA
Source: RNAcentral